AUACGUAGGUGGCAAGCGUUAUCCGGAAUUAUUGGGCGUAAAGCGUGCGUAGGCGGUUUAUUAAGUCUGAUGUUAAAUCCCACAGCUCAACUGUGGGCUGCCAUUGGAAACUGGUAGACUUGAGUGCGGUAGAGGUAAGUGGAAUUCCAAGUGGAGCGGUGGAAUGCGUAGAUAUUUGGAGGAACACCAGUGGCGAAGGCGGCUUACUGGGCCGUUACUGACGCUGAGGCACGAAAGCGUGGGGAGCAAACAGGAUUAGAUACCCUAGUAGUCCACGCUGUAAACGAUGACAACUAAAUAUUGCCGCGAGGCAGUGUUGAAGCUAACGCAUUAAGUUGUCCGCCUGGGGAGUACGGUCGCAAGACUGAAACUUAAAGGAAUUGACGGGG
This 389-nucleotide ribosomal RNA is filed under the name uncultured bacterium. RNAcentral describes it as "partial 16S ribosomal RNA". It matches the Rfam family "Bacterial small subunit ribosomal RNA", at positions 523 to 918 of the family's 1533-position model. The record is from RNAcentral.